UACGGAGUUAGCCGAUCCUUAUUCUUACGAUACCGUCAAGCUCCAACACGUUGGAGUGUUUCUUCUCGUACAAAAGCAGUUUACAAUCCAUAGGACCGUCAUCCUGCACGCGGCAUGGCUGGAUCAGGCUUGCGCCCAUUGUCCAAUAUUCCUCACUGCUGCCUCCCGUAGGAGUCUGGUCCGUGUCUCAGUACCAGUGUGGGGGAUCUCCCUCUCAGGACCCCUACCCAUCGUAGCCUUGGUAAGCCGUUACCUUACCAACCAGCUAAUGGGACGCAUGCUCAUCUUUCACCGUUGUGACUUUAAUAAUAUCCUGAUGCCAGGUCAUUAUACUAUGAGGUAUUAAUCCAAAUUUCUCUGGGCUAUCCCUCUGUGAAAGGCAGAUUGCAUACGCGUUACGCACCCGUGCGCCGGUCUCUAGCACCGAAGUGCUAUACCCCUCGACUUGCAUGUGUUAAGCCUGCCGCUAGCGUUCAUCCUGAGCCAA
This 487-nucleotide ribosomal RNA is filed under the name uncultured Flavobacterium sp. Its description in RNAcentral is "partial 16S ribosomal RNA". The record is from RNAcentral. Lineage: Bacteria; Pseudomonadati; Bacteroidota; Flavobacteriia; Flavobacteriales; Flavobacteriaceae.